This is a non-coding RNA of Musa acuminata subsp. malaccensis (wild Malaysian banana), 2548 nucleotides long. Lineage: Eukaryota; Viridiplantae; Streptophyta; Magnoliopsida; Zingiberales; Musaceae. The record is from RefSeq and is a predicted model, not a curated record.
UUACAGGAGUUCGAUGAUCCAAGAUCGUAAAUAUGCACACUCACAAUACAGUUCGUUGCUCUUGAGAUCAAUUCACGCCUCUCAGCGUUACAUGAAAGCCUUCUCCAGAUGCAUACCAUCGAAACCUCUCCGGCCUUGUCUCCCUCCUACUUCCUACCGCUCCGUCGCCGCUCUCCUCCUUCCCGCCUCUUCGGUUCCGCUCCCGAACUCCUCUCCGCCGCACCCAUUGGUCGAAACCUUCGCCAGCCUAUGCCACCGAGGCGCCUUCUCCGACGCCAUCGCUGCCAUGGGUUCCCUCGAGGUUCACGGCCUUCGCGCCGACCCCAUCUCCUACUCAAACCUCAUCAAGCUCUGCAUCAGGAACAAUGCCGUCGACGAAGGCCGGCUCGUCCACCGCCACCUCUCUUCGGACGGUGACCACCCUGAGCUGUUCCUCUCGAACACUUUGAUGAGCAUGUACACGAAAUUUGGCCUCGUAUACGAGGCACGACAGCUGUUCGAUAGAAUGGGUGAGAGAAAUGUAGUGUCCUGGACUACCAUGAUCUCCGUGAUGACGAAUCUCAAGCGGAAUGAAGAAGCCUUAAGGCUUCUGAUCUCUAUGCAAAGGGAAGGGGUGGCUCCCAAUAUGUACACUUUCUCAGCUGUUCUCCGGGCCUGCCAAACAUUAGCGUCCCUCUGGUCGGUUCAUUGUUGCAUUGUUAAGUAUGGUUUGGAAUCGGAUGUCUUCGUCAGGAGCUCUCUCAUUGAUGUCUACUCGAAAUUUGGUGAUCUGGACUACGGAUAUCGGGUUUUUAAGGAGAUGGCGACACGCGACUUGGUGGUUUGGAAUUCCAUUAUCGGUGGCUUUGCGCAGGGCGGAGAUGGAUACAAGGCUAUCAAUCUAUUUGCCCAGAUGAAGAGGGCGGGCUUCUUGGCAAACCAAGGCACGUUGGCCAGUGUUUUGAGAGCUUGCACCGGAAUGGUGCUACUCGAGAUGGGAAGGCAAGUUCAUGUCCAUGUGCUCAAGCAUGAGAGGGAUUUGAUUCUGAACAAUGCGCUGCUAGAUAUGUACUGCAAGUGUGGGAGCUUGGAGGAUGCAGAUGCCGUGUUCCAGAGGAUGUCAGAGAGGGAUGUGAUCUCAUGGAGCACGAUGAUCUCAGGCUUGGCACAGAAUGGAAGAAGCGGUGACGCAUUGAAGCUUUUUGAGUCCAUGAAGAUUUUGGGUCCUAAACCAAACCAUAUCACCAUUGUGGGAGUUCUGUUUGCCUGUAGCCAUGCUGGUCUUGCGGAAGAUGGGUGGUACUACUUCAGGUCUAUGAAGAAACUCUUCGAUCUACAGCCAGGAAGAGAGCACUAUGGUUGCAUGGUCGAUCUGCUUGGAAGAGCUGGGAAGCUCGAGGAAGCUCUCAAGUUUAUCCAGGAUAUGAAUUUUGAACCUGAUACAGUCAUCUGGAGAACACUUCUUGGAGCUUGCAGAGUUCACAAGAAUGCAAAUUUAGCAGCACAUGCAGCUAAGGAGAUUCUUAGAUUACAACCAGAUGAUGAAGGGGCAUAUAUACUCUUAUCCAACAUUUAUGCUGAUUCUCACCGAUGGAAUGAGGUGGAACAGGUGAGGAAAUCCAUGAGAGACCAUCAGGUGAGGAAGGAGCCAGGUCGCAGCUGGAUCGAAGUGGGCAAAAAGAUCCAUGUCUUCAUCGUUGGGGACAUGUCACACCCACGAGCAGAUGGCAUUGAGAAAGAAUUGAGCCGUUUGAUCAGUAGAAUAGCCAACAUAGGGUACGUGCCGGACACAGAUUUUGUGUUGCAUGAUGUAGGAAAAGAGCAGAAGGAAGAAUCACUACGGUACCACAGUGAGAAGCUAGCAAUUGCAUUUGGAGUGUUGAACUCAACCAGAAGUAAGCCGAUCAGGAUAAUGAAGAACCUAAGGAUAUGUGGUGACUGUCACACCUUUGCUAAGCUCGUUGCUAAGUCUGAGGACAUGACCAUCAUAAUAAGGGACCCUGUUCGGUUUCACCAUUUCCAGGAUGGAGCUUGCUCAUGUGGUGAUUACUGGUAAUGGUCCUAAAAGAGCAGCAGAUAAGAUUAAUACUUGGUGACUUUGUUCUGCUCAUUUGUAAUUUGCACCAAAAUAUUUCUUCAGAGUUGACUAGCCGGUGAAUGAUUGAGGUGGUCAUUAGUAACUGGGAAAGUAGUGUCAUGAUCAUGCUACUGCAAUUAGGUGAUGGAUUAUAUAGUGUAAGAUGGACGAAAUAGUCGUGCCUUUUGUCAAUUCAUCCAACAGGAGAACUUCACUAAGAUGGUGAAGCUAACAAGGGAAGCCAGAGACUGAUUACUCUAUGGGCACCAAGUAUACGAGUUAUCAAGGUGCUGCCCUGUGCAGAAUCAACUAUCUCCAGCAUUUAGGACAAAAAACCGAGGAGCAUUAUGUUUUGUUCAUUUUGUUCUAAGGAUUCCAGCUGAAGAGAAUUCUUAUGAUUAUAAAUACAACAGAAUGGCAAUGGUACUUAGUGGAUGAGCUUUCAAGCAGAGGUUUGGCCUAAAUGUGAUGCUUCCGUGAAUGGCCCCCACG